UUCCUCAUGCAGGCGCCAGGUCCCACACUGGACAUCAUCUCUCCUGGUUUGGGGAUCUGGCAGGAGGAGGAAGCACCAAUUCGUUGACUUGGCAGCAAAUGUAAAAACCAUUUCAUAGGCAUUAUACCUGAGGACAGGCAUUCCCCAGAUAAUUAAAUGGGCCCGUUGUAAGCUAAUUCGGCUUUGAUGCCCAUGCCUUGGUCUUUUCCCCAAGUACUUGGAAAGUAAUUUGCCUGAGUCUCAUGCAAACCCUGGACUCCAACUGUCCAGCCACAAGGCAACACUAAUUGCCUUCUCUUCCCUUCAAAAUGCAGGCAGUUUCUCCUAAUUUACAAGUUAGAAACAAUUCAUGGAAGCAUCUGUUUUUGUCAUCAAGGACAGAGCUGUGUUUGAAACCACCAGGCCAAAGAUACCUCGUGUCAGCUCUUCCAGAACCAGAUCAAAAUCCCUUGGAUAAAAGAGACUCACUCCAGCCCUUAAACAAGAGAUUAGUGUGAGCCUAGGACUGCUGUUGGCCAUCUUCCCCACGUUUGGAGAGAGACUUCCUAAGCCCAUGAACAGAACAGAGAGAAAGAGAAAUAAUGUUGUGACAUUAUCAUUUGAGCACCUGGAUCCAGCCAGGUCAUCUUUUCAGUUAUAGGAAACAAUAAAUUCUAUUUAAAA
Molecule: long non-coding RNA, 663 nt
Organism: Neogale vison (American mink)
Lineage: Eukaryota; Metazoa; Chordata; Mammalia; Carnivora; Mustelidae
Exons: 2
Source: RefSeq, a predicted model, not a curated record